This 25114-nucleotide long non-coding RNA is filed under the name Hordeum vulgare. Its description in RNAcentral is "long non-coding RNA (HVUL_LNC009180)". The record is from RNAcentral. Lineage: Eukaryota; Viridiplantae; Streptophyta; Magnoliopsida; Poales; Poaceae.
CGAGCUCUUUGUCACCUCCAUAAAAGAGAAACAUUUCCUUAGUCCUUUUCAGGUACUUUAGAAUAUUCUUGACCGCCGUCCAGUGAUCCACUCCUGGAUUACUUUGAAACCUGCCUGCCAUACUUAUGGCCAGGCUAACGUCCAGUCUAGUGCAUAGCAUUGCAUACAUGAUAGAACCUAUGGCUGAAGCAUAGUGGACGGUACUCAUCUUUUCUCUAUCUUCCGCAGUUACUGGACACUGAGUCUUACUCAAUUUUAUACCUUGUAAUACAGGCAAGAACCCCUUCUCGGACUGUUCCAUUUUGAACUUCUUCAAAAUGUUAUCAAGGUAAGUGCUUUGUGAAAAUCCUAUCAAGUGUCUCGAUCUAUCCCUAUAGUUCUUAAUGCUUAGAAUGUAAGCAGCUUCUCCUAGGUCCUUCAUAGAGAACCCUAUAUUCAAGUAAUCCUUUAUGCUCUCCAAAAACUCCACGUUCUUUCCAAUCAGCAAUAUGCCAUCCACAUAUAAUAUUAGAAACGCCACAGAGCUCCACUCACUUUCUUGUAAAUACAAGAUUCUCCAACCACUUGUAUAAACCCAAAUGCUUUGAUCACCUCAUCAAAGCGCUUAUUCGAACUCCGAGAUGCCUGCACUAGUCCAUAAAUGGAUCACUGGAGCUUGCACACUUUGUUAGCAUUCUAUGGAUCGACAAAACCUUUGGGUUGCAUCAUAUACAACUCUUCCUUAAGAAAACCAUUAAGGAACGCCGUUUUGACAUCCAUCUGCCAGAUUUCAUAAUCGAAAAAUGCAGUUAUUGCUAACAUGAUUCGUACGGACUUAAGCAUCGCUACUGGUGAGAAUGUCUCAUCGUAGUCAACUCCUUGAACUUGUGAAAAACCCUUUGCCACAAGUCGAGCUUUAUAAACGAUCACAUUACCGUCCGCGUCCGUCUUCUUUUUAAAGAUCCAUUUGUUCUGAAUAGCCUUGCGGCCUUCAGGUAAUACUUACAAAGUCCACACUUUCUUUUCAUACAAAGAUCCUAUCUCGGACUUCAUGUCCUCUAGCCAUUUGUUGGAAUCCGGGCCCGCCAUUCCUUCUUCAUAAUUCGUAGGUUCAUUUUUGUCUAACAACAUGAUUGAUAAGACAGGAUUACCAGACCACUCAGGAGCAGUGCGUGAUCUUGUCGACCUGUGAUGUUUGAUGGGAACUUGAUCCAAAGUUUCAUGAUCAUCAUCAUUAACUUCCUCCUCAACUGGCGUCGCUUCGAUAGAGGUUUUCCCCUGCCCUAUGUCACCACCUUGAGGGAUUAGAGGUUCGACAACCUCAUCAAGUUCUAUAUUCCUCCCACUCAAUUAUUUCGAGAGAAACUCCUUCUCAAGAAAAGCUCCGUUCUUAGCAACAAACACUUUGCCCUCGGAUUUGGGAUAGAAGGUGUACCCAGCUGUCUCCUUUGGGUAACCUAUGAAGACGCACUUUUCCGCUUUCGGUUCCAACUUUUCAGGCUGAAGCUUUUUGACAUAAGCAUCCCAUCCCCAAACUUUAAGAAAUGACAAUUUUGGUCUUUUGCCAUACCACAGCUCGUAUGGUGUCGUCUCAAUGGAUUUUGAUGGUGCCCUAUUCAAAGUGAAUGCAGAUGUCUCUAAUGCAUAACCCCAAAACGAUAACGGCAAAUCGGUAAGAGACAUCAUAGAUCGCACCAUUUCUAGCAAAGUACGAUUCUGACGUUCGGACACACCAUUACGCUGUGGUGUUCCAGGCGGUGUCAACUGUGAAAAAAUUCCACAUUGUCUUAAGUGAGCACAAAACUCGAAACUCAGAUACUCACCCCCACGAUCAGAAUGUAGGAACUUGAUCUUCUUGUUAUGAUGAUUUUCAACUUCACUCUGAAAUUGCUUGAACUUCUCAAACGUUUUAGACUUGUGCUUCAUCAAGUAGAAAUAUCCAUACCUACUCAAAUCGUCAGUGAAGGUGAGAAAAUAACGAUAUCCACCGCGCGCCUCCACACUCAUCGGACCGCACACAUCGGUAUGUAUGAUCUCCAACAAGUCACUUGCACGCUCCCUUGUUUCGGAGAAUGGAGUAUUAGUCAUCUUGCCCAUGAGGCAUGGUUCGCACGUGUCAAGUGAUUCAAAAUCAAGUGACUCCAAAAUCCCAUCGGAAUGGAGUUUCUUCAUGCGCUUUACACCAAUAUGACCUAAGAGGCAGUGCCACAAAACAUGGCGCUAUCAUUGUUAACUCUACAUCUUUUGGUUUCAAUGUUAUGUAUAUGUGUAUCAUCACUAUCAAGAUUCAAUAUGAACAAUCCUCUCACAUUAGGUGCAUGACCAUAAAAGAUAUUACUCAUAGAAAUAGAACAACCAUUAUUAUCUAACGUAAUCGAGUAACCGUCUCGCAAUGAACAAGAUCCAGAUAUAAUGUUCAUGCUUAACGCAGGCACUAAAUAACAAUUAUUUAAUUUCAUAACCAAUCCUGAUGGUAACUGAAGUGAGACUGUGCCGAUGGCGAUUGCAUCAACCUUGGAACCAUUUCCCACGCGCAUCGUCACUUCAUCCUUCGCCAGCCUUCGUUUAUUCCACAGUUCCUGCUUCGAGUUGCAAAUAUGAGCAACAGAACUGGUAUUAAAUACCCAGGCACUACUACGAGAGUUGGUUAAGUACACAUCAAUAACAUGUAUAUCAAAUAUACCUGAUUUUUCUUUGGCCGCCUUCUUAUCAGCCAAAUACUUGGGGCAGUUGCACUUCCACUGACCCAUUCCCUUGCAAUAAUAACACUCUGUUUCUCGCUUAGGUCCAGCCUUGGGUUUCUUCGUCGGAUUGAAAACAGGCUUGCCGCUCUUCUUGGAGUUACCCUUCUUACCUUUGUCGUUUCUCUUGAAACCAUUGGUCUUAUUGACCAUCAACACUUGAUGCCCUUUCCGGAGUUCUAACUCUGCGACUUUCAGCAUCGCGAAUAACUUGUUGGGUGACUUGUUCAUCCCUUGCAUGUUAUAGUUCAACACAAAGCUCUUAUAGCUAGCUGGCAGUGAUUGAAGAAUUCUGUCAGUGAUAGCCUCUUGCGGGAGUUCAAUCCCCAGCUCAGCUAGACAGUUUGAGUACCCAGACAUUUUGAGCACAUGUUCACUGACGAACGAAUUCUCCUCCAUCUUGCAAGCAUAGAAUUUAUUGGAGGUCUCAUAAAUCUCAAUCCGGGCAUUCUUCUGAAAGAUAAACUUCAACUCCUGUGACAUCUCAUAUGCUCCAUGAUGCUCAAAGCGACGUUGAAGUCCUGGUUCUAAGCCAUACAAGACUCCACAUUGAACUACUGAGUAGUCCUCCUUACGUGUUAACCAGGCGUUCAAAACAUCUUGGUUAGAUGUAGCAGGUGGUUCAUCUCCUAGCGCUGCAUUAAGGACAUAAUCCUUCUUCCCAGCUUGGAGGAGCAACUUUAGAUUACGAGCCCAUUCUACAAAGUUGCUUCCAUCAUCUUUCAACUUAGCUUUCUCUAGGGACGUACUGAAAUUCAGGGUUGCUACUGCGUGAGCCAUUGAGCUACAACAUAAAAUUUUGCAAAGUGGAUUUAAACUAUGUUUAAAAUAAUUAGAGUUUAACUAAUCAAAUUACUGAUAAACUUUCACUCAAAAAGUACAUCUCUCUAGUCAUUUGAGUGGUACAUGAUCCAAAUCCACUAUCUCAAGUUCGAUCAUCACGUGAGUUGAGAAUAGUUUCAGUGGCAAGCAUCUCUAUGCUAAUCAUAUCAACUAUACGAUUCAUGCUCGACCUUUCGGUCUCUUGUGUUCCAAGGCCAUGUCUGCACAUGCUAGGCUCGUCAAGUUUAACCCGAGUGUUCCGCGUGUGUCACUGUUUUGCACCCGUUGCAUGUGAACAUUGAGUCUAUCACACCCGAUCAUCACGUGGUGUCUCAAAACGAUGAACUGUCGCAAUGGUGCAGAGUCGGGGAGAACACAUUUUCAUCUUGAAAUUUCAGUGAGAGAUCACCUUAUAAUGCUACCGUCGUUCUAAGCAAAAUAAGGUGCAUAAAAGGAUUAACAUCACAUGCAAUUCAUAAGUGACAUGAUAUGGCCAUGAACUUGUGCUUCUUGAUCUCCAUCACCAAAGCACCAUCAUGUUCUUCUUGUCACCGGCGCCACACCAUGAUCUCCAUCAUCAUGUCGUCAUCGAGGUUGUCGUGCUAUCUAUGCUAUUACUACUAAAGCUACGACCUAGCAAUAUAGUAAACGCAUCUGCAAACACAAACGUUAGUUUAAAGACAACCCUAUGGCUCCUGUCGGUUGCCGUAUCAUCCACGUGCAAGUCGAUAUUAACUAUUACAACAUGAUCAUCUCAUACAUCCAAUAUAUCACAUCAUGUCUUUGGCCAUAUCACAUCACAAGCAUACCCUGUAAAAACAAGUUAGACGUCCUCUAAUUUGUUGUUGCAUGUUUUACGUGGUUGCUAUGGGUAUCUAGUAUGAUCGCAUCUUACUUACACAAAAACCACAACGGAUAUGUGCAAAUUGCUAUUUAACCUCUCUCCAAGGACCGCCUCGGUCAAAACCAAUUCAACUAAAGUUGAAGAAACAGGCACCCGCCAGUCAUCUUUAUGCAACGAGUUGCAUGUUAGUCGAUGAAACCAGUCUCUUGUAAGCGUACGAGUAAUGUCGGUCCGGGCCGCUUCAAUCCAACAAUACCGCCGAAUAGAGAAAAGAUUAAGGAGGGCAGCAAAUCAAACAUCAACGCCCACAAAACCUUUUGUGUUCUACUCGAGAUAACAUCUACGCAUGAAACUAGCUCUGAUACCACUGUUGGGGAACAUUGCAUGGGAAACAAAACUUUUCCUACGCACACGAAGACCUAUCAUGGUGAUGUCCACCUACGAGAGGAGAUUAGAUGCACAUACCCUUGUAGAUUGCUAAGCGGGAAGCAUUAAGAAACGCGGUUGAUGUAGCGGUACAGUUUCGUGAUUCAGAUCACCAUCGUCCCACGAUCCAUCCCACGACCUGUUCCGAUCUAGCGCCGUAUGGACGGAACCUCCGCGUUAAGCACACGUACAGCUCGAUGACGAUCUCGGCCUUAUUGAUCCAGCAAAAGAUACGGAGAAGUAGAUGAGUUCUCCAGCAGCGUGACGGCGCUCCGGUGGUGGUGAUGAUCUACUCGUGUAGGGUCCGCCCGAGCUCCGCAGAAAUCCAAUCUAGAGGAAAAACUACGUGGUAUAGGUUUGAGUUGCACGUGGCAAAGUUGUGUCUCAAAAAGCCCUAAACCACCAAUAUAUAUAGGAGGAGGGGAGGGGAUAGCCUUGGGGCUCAAGGGAGACCCAAGUGCGCCGGCCAAAGGCAGGAGGUGGACUCCCACCCCAAUUCGGUUUGGGGGAAGGAGUCCACUCCUUCCGACUCCUUCCUUCCCACCGNCCUUUCGGUAUUUUCCACUUAUGGCGCCAUGGCCCUAUUGGGAUGGACUCACCAGCCCCCUAAGGGCUGGCGCGCCACCCUAGGGUCACUGGGCUCACAUCGGGUGGGUGGGCCCCUCUCGGUGGAUACCAGGAACCCAUUCGUCACUCCCGGUACACUGCCGGUAAUGACCGAAACUUUACGGUGACCAAAUGAAACCAUCCUAUAUAUCAAUAUUUGUUUCCGGACCAUUCCGCAAACCCUCGUGACGUUCGUGAUCUCAUCCGGGACUCCGAACAACAUUCGGUAACCACACAUAUAACUCAACUAUACAAAAACAUCAUCGAACCUUAAGUGUGCAGACCCUGCGGGUUCGAGAACUAUGUAGACAUGACCCGAGACACUCCUCGGUCAAUAUCCAAUAGCGAGACUUGGAUGUCCAUAUUGGAUCCUACAUAUUCUACAAAGAUCUUAUCGGUUGAACCUCUGUGCCAAGGAUUCAUAUAAUCCCGUAUGUCAUUCCCUUUGUCCUUCGGUAUAUUACUUGCCCGAGAUUCGAUCGUCGGUAUGUGUAUACCAAUUUUAAUCUCGUUACCAGUAAGUCUCUUUACUCGUUCCGUAAUACGAGAUCCCGUGACUUACACUUUAGUCACAUUGCUUGCAAGUCUUGAUUGCGAUAUUGUAUUACCGAGUGGGCCCCGAGAUACCUCUCCGUCACACGGAGUGACAAAUCCCUGUCUUGAUCCAUACUAACUCAACGGACACCUUCGGAGAUACCUGUAGAGCACCUUUUUAGUCACCCAGUUACGUUGCGACAUUUGAUACAAACAAGGUAUUCCUCCGGUGUCAGGGAGUUAUAUGAUCUCAUGGUCGUAGGAAUAAAUACUUGACACGCAGAAAACAAUAGCAAUACGAUCACAUGCUACGUUCAUAGUUUGGGUCUAUUCCAUCACAUGAUUCUCCUAAUGAUGUGAUCCAGUUAACAAGUGACAACACUUGCAUACGGUCAGAAAACCUUGACCAUCCUCGAUCAAGUGGCUAGCCAACUAGAGGCUCGCUAGGGACAUUGUUUUGUCUAUGUAUCCACACAUGUAUCUAUGUUUUUAUUCAAUACAAUUAUAGCAUGGAUAAUAAACGAUUAUCUUGAAACAGGAAAUAUAAUAAUAACUAUUUUAUCAUUGCCUCUAGGGCAUAUUUCCAACAGUCUCCUGACGCUCCCAAUCUCGGAAGCGCUGCAGUGGCGGAACGAUGGAGAAAUUCUCGAUUCCAGAUAGUCUAUGAGGGUUUCCUCACGGAACACUAAAUAUAGCCAAAGGAGGGUACUCGAGGAGGGAGCACCCACCCAGGCGACCUCUUGGCGCGCCCUGGGCCUGGCCGCGCCAGCAGGACGCUUGGGAGGCCCCUGGCCCCCCUCUAGCCCUCCUUCGAUGAUCCCAAAGUUUCUGCUUCGUUGAUUUUUUUAUAUAUUUUUCUGGAUUUUUUCGGGCUUCGGAAAAUUGGGUAAAAGCCCCUGCAAAAAAGACAUCAGCAGACAGAAACUGGCACUGGGUGCAUUGAGUUAGUAGGUUAGUCCAAAUAUGUGUAAAGUGAUAUAAAAGUGUAGCAAAACAUAUAAUAAUGUCACCCAAAAUAUCGUGGAACAAGCAGAAAUUAUAGAUACGUUUAGGACGUAUCAAAAUCCCCAAGCUUAAUUUAUGCUCGUCCUCGAGUAGGUAAAUGAUAACACAAUAAUUUCUAUGGUGACAUGCUAACACACAUAUAAGAACUUCAAAGUAAAGCAAGUGAGAUAUGCAAUUCAAGUCAAGACAAUAACAAGCAAGAGUCUAUAUCUAGUAUUGAACUUAGCAAAGUAAGAACAUAAAGGUGCAAGAGCUCUCGCUGUCCGUGACUCGAAUGUCUCCAAAUGGUGUUUGCAUGCAAGAAGUGGGAGAUGGGUUCAGAGAUAAAAUAUUUUUUUAAUGGAGAACUCAAUCUACUAAACCUCACACUUAGUCUUCUUUGUAAUCUUAUUUUGACUCAUCCCUAGAACACUUGUCAGGCACAAGACAAAAUGAUCCUCUCCCUUUCGACUUUGAGCACUCAUGCAAUGGAUGAGCGUAAGCAAGAUAUGUUGGCACUUAGGAUGGCAAAUAGGAUAAUGAUGGGGAAGGAAGACAAAAAGGUGUGAAAGGCUCACAUCAAUGAGGACAACCAUAGGCGAGAGAAAGCCAAAUGAUAGAUAUGAUGUGAGGAGUAGGGAUUGCCAUGUAACACAUGCACAUAUGAGCUAAUGUAAGCUCUCCAAUGCAACUAGUGGGGGUGCAUCUAACUUGUUUGCUCAUGAAGACCUAGAUCUCAUUUGAGGAGGCUCAUCAUUGGAAUAUGCAAAGCAAGUUCUAUAGUGUAAGGAUCCCCCACAUAGUUAUGCAUGAAUUAUAAUCUAUAUGUACUACCAAUAUAGUAAUGGAGUACGAGUGUGGGUCUUUCAAAAGGAAUAGUAGUGUUGCCCCCUUCUCUCUUUUUAUUUCUUUUUUUAUUUUGUGCCCUCUUUGGCUCUUUCUUUUUAUCUCUCAUUUGUCCUGUUUGGGAUAUUUUGUUUGUCCUCUUUGGGAUCUUUUCCUCACUUAAGGGCAAUACUCUAUAUUUUAUAUGAACAGAAAGAAAAAUCAUCACACUUUAUAAGAAGUACUCAACAUAAAGACAAGUGAAAACUAUCAUGAUGUAUGCAAAUGUAUGAUUGUGCGAGUGUAGCAGGAUAAGCAAUGAUACUAGCGCGUCAUGUAGCAGUAAUGAGGGCAAGGCCCAACUAGCAUGCGGCUCUAUGAUCAAGCAAAAGCAUGUAUGACAUGAAGAUCAAGUCAUGAGAUGAUGGAUGUUACAUGGCAAUGUAUCUCGAAAAGGCUAUGGAAAUGCCUUAAUAGGUAGGUAUGGUGGCUGUUUUGAGGAAAGAUAUAAUGAGGCUUAUGUAUGACAGAGCGUAUCAUGUCAUGGGUUUGGAUGCACCGGCGGAGUUUGCGCCAACUCUCAAUGUGAGAAAGGACAAUGCACGGUACCGAAGAGGCUAGAAAAAUAUGGAUGGUGGAAGUGCCAACAAUCAAAUACUCACAUUAGUCCGAAGAACUCAUACACUUAUUAUCGUAACUCUCUAUCUAGUUAGGAAAUUCACAAAAAGACAAGUACCCCGAGGAGGAAUGUUUGGCGGUUUGGUUAUCCUUGCGCAUCCUCGACUCAUGGUAAUGUGAGGGUACUCUAUAUAUUACAACCCCUCCAUAGGUUAGCGAUCAAUUUAGUAGCUAGAGUUCUCAACUAAUUUUUAGUUUUUGAAAAACACACGGAUUUCCCAAAAUACGACACCUAUCACUAAUAGGCUCAAGCUCUUGGCACCAAUAGUCCAAACAUUACUCAAAUCAAUAACUCAAUACUAUUGCAAGUUACUACUAUACUUAAAUAGCAACCUCAGUUACCUACUUAUGCAAGACACACAACUCAGUGCAACAAGCAAACUCUCUAAACAAGAUAAGCAUGAUAACUCGAGAGAGUUCCAAAUUCAACCUAAGUAAAAGCUCUUAAAAAGAUAAGCGUGAAAGCUAAGAGCUAAGCAUGACAAUAGCUAUGAAAAGAUGAAGAACACACAAAAAGAAUAAGCAUGAAAACCUAUGUUGUGUUCUAGAGUGGAAUGGAGCGUGUGUCUCUCCCAAACACGGUAGGAUAGGUUCAGACUUGUUAUGAACAGAAAGCAAAAUUAAAACAAAGUAAAAAAGUAAAUAGCGGGACGCUCCAAGCAUAGCACAUAUCAUAUGAAGUGAUAAAAAUAUAGUAUGGGGAUGGACGACCUGAUGAUUGUUGAUAGAGAAGGGGAUGCACGGGGGCAUCCCCAAGCUUAGACGGUUGAGUCUCCUUUGAAUAUUUCUUGGGGUGCAUGGGGGCAUCCCCAAGCUUGAGUGUUUGACACUCCUUUAUCUUCUUUCAUCAUCUCUCCCAUCGCAAUACUUGAAAACCCCCUUUAUACAAAACUCAUCAUAAGCUGAUUAGAGUAGUUAGUUCCCUUAAUAAAAUAAUUCAAUACCUACUGAAAAUAAGGAUUUUCAUGAAAAGAUACUGCUUCUCAUGUGCCAAAAUAUUUUUGCAAAUAAAAAGAAAGCUUAGGAUUCGCAAAACAAUGGAAACACAAAACAUGGCAGAAUUUGUGAAAAACAGACAGCAGGUAGUAAAUAAUUUAUUCGGCGUACUUCUGCAACUCAAAUCAAUAAACUUAUAACAGAUGCCAGAAAGACAAUUAUAUAGAUCAUGCUGUCAAAAACUUCAGAUCAAAAAGAUGAUGUGGUGAUUUUUUGGUGAUUUUUUUCGUCAAGCAGACAUAAUCUGUUUCUCGACGGCAUGUCACAAUUUUUGAACUUUCUUGCAAUCGAAAGCUAUAACUUGGCACAAAGCUUAAAAAUAAAGAUACAAUGAUGUUGCUACAGUAGUAACACACAUCAAGACCACUAAAACAUAAAGUAAAAAACAUAUUGGGUUGCCUCCCAACAAGCACUUUCUUUUAUGCCUUUGAGCUAGGCAUAAUGCAAGAAGAUCAAGUUGUAUCAAUUGAACCAUCAUCAAGAUCAUCAAAGAGCUCUUCAAUAAUACAACUCCUCUUCAGAGGACUCUCAAAGAGAGACUUAGUGGCGACACUUCUAGGAACAAAAGCAAAGGUAGUAAUACCAAUUGGAAUUUCAUUUCUAAUUCUAUUUAAGAGAGGUAUCUCUUCCAAGGUCUUCACAGUUUCAGCACCCUUAGCAAUAGGUAUACUUGUUUUGGGUUGAGGAACCUUGGGUAUGUUAACGAACCUAGGUCCCUUCCUUGCAGGGGUUUCUACCUUUUUAGUCUUGAUGGAGGAUAGAGUAGUUCCUAAAGUUUCAAAAAUAUCCUCGAUCUUAUCAAUCCUAGAAGGAUCCACAUCAUGGGAUUUAAGGGUCUCCAAAAUUUUGUAAAUUUUGUUCAUGGAGCUGUCAAGCCUAUUUAAGUUCCCUUGAAUCCUACUAUCUACUUCAUUAAUCUUACUCAUGCUUGGCAUCUCUAGCUCUAUUUUCUCAAGUUUACUCAUAACAUGAGAUAAAGUGAUAUCAUCCUUUAUGUCAAUAAUAGGUCGGAUUCCGACAAGAUUUUCCAUAACGUUAAGAGCCUCCCAAACGGGAGCUUCCAAGAAAUUCCCUCCGAUUGUUGUGUCUAGAACAAACCUAUGCCAACAAGUAAUACCAACAUAAAAAUUUCUAAGAAAAAUAGUGGUGGAUUGCUUCUUGGUGGCUCUAUCUUGAGAAUUCUUAAUUCUAUACCAAGCAUCUUUCAAACUUUAUCCAACCCUUUGUUUGAAGGUGAGAAUCUCUCCUUCGGGUGCAACACUAGAGGCAAAGGAUUUAGGCAUACUAACAAAGCAAAGUAACUAAUUUUUCUGUGGUUUUUGGGUAUAGGACCGUAAAGAAAAAACUAGAAAGCAAACUAACAAGACUAAAAAGCAAAGGUAAAAUAUAGUGUGCAACUCCCCUAUCUUGAAGAGUGGAGUCCCUAGCAAUGGCGCCAGAAAUUCGCUUGAUGACGAGGUGUUGUAUAUGCUUCUCGCCCCUCGUUGGACCCCAAGUGGAAGGUGGAGAUGUAGUCAACAACAAAUUUCCCUUACACGGAGACUGUAAGGUUUAUCGAACCAGGAGGACUCCUAGGCUCAACAAGUAGGUGUCUUCCACCCUGGCGCUAGCAAAAGACGUGGACCUGCACACACAACAAAUAACUUUGAUCCCAACGAGUACAGAGAGGUUGUCAAUCUCUCCGACCUUGUAGUUUGCAAAGGAUCAAAACACAAGCGAGAAGGUAAUAGUGAUUACAACGGAAAAGUAAAUAAAGUGGUAAAUAGUGGAGGUGUAAGCAAUGAUGGUGAUCUGGACCGGAGUCACAUGACGUUCACUAGUGAUGUCUCUCUCCCAAAAGACGAUAAACAACUAUGCUAGGGUGAACAAAUAACAGUUGGGCAAUUGACUGAAUUAUGAUCGCAUCGCAAUGCUAAUUAUGCUCCUUGAUAGUUAGAGGUUCAAUAGUAAUGGGCAAUACGCCGAGACAAGUAGACCGUUUAUUCAUCAGCAUCUACUUAGUAAUCAUCCACCUUGAGAUAUAUAUCGAGAACAUCUCUCUGGUAUUAAGUUGCGAGCCCCACCCAAAGUGUAAACUCAAAGCAACGGACAACUGCAUUAAUGAACUAUGCAUAAGGUAAACAAUCCUUGCAACCUUGGUCACAAGCACCGUUGUUUUCUCCCUGGUGGCAACAAGCACAUCCCCCUACUCUCAUGUUUCGGUCAGUCAAGCUAGACAUUGAGGGGCCCGAACCCACAAUCAUGCAUAAUGCUCCCGCUUGGAGUUACGAUCUACUACUUGGCCAAAGCAAUAAAAAGCAACGGAGAACAUUCAAGAAUCACUAAGGAACAUAAUAUAAAAGGAUAAUCAAAUAUAUAACUCAUAAAAAUCUGAACAUAAUCUCAUAAUCCAUCGGAUCCCAACAAACAGAGCAUAGCAAUAGCAAGAGAAUUACAUAGAGGCCUUGAUCAUGUAGGGCAGCUCACAAGGACUAACCAUUGAAGCACAAGAUUGGAGAGAAUACAUCACAUAGCUACUGGCCAUGGACCCAUGGUCCAAGGGAAACUACUCACGGCAGAUCCGGGAGGCGUCCAUGGUGGUGGAGAAGCUCCCGGAGGUCAAUCCUCCCUCCGGCAGGGUGCCGGGAACAGGUCUCCUGACGCUCCCGAUCUCGAAAGCGCUGCGGCACCGGAACGAUGGAGAAAUUUGCGAUUCCAGAUAGUCUGCGAGGGUUUCCUCAUAGAACACUAAAUAUAGGCCAAAGAAGGGCACCGGAGGAGGUGGGGCCCACCCAGGCGACCUCCUGGCGUGGCCUGGGGCCUGGCCGCACCAGCAGGCCGCCUGGUAGGCCCGUGGCCCCCCUAUGGACCUCCCUCAGUGACCCCGAAUCUUCUGCUUCGCUGAUUUUUUAUAUGUUUUUCUGGAUUUUUUUUGGGCUUCGGAAAAUCGGGUAAAAGCCCUUGCAAAAAAGACAUUAGCAGACAGAAACUGGCACUGGGUGCACUCAGUUAGUAGGUUAGUCCAAAUAUGUGUAAAAUGAUAUAAAAGUNUACUCCACAAUGCCCUUGUCUAUGUGUGAAUUUGGCAUAUCUGUUCUACUUUGUGUCAUUAUGUCAACACAAUAUAAUCUCUUAUAUUGUGUGUCCUGUUAUGGUCAAUUGCGUGAACUGAUGACAUGGCCAUUUGUUCAUCUAGUUAUCCCUUUAUUUAUAACUUACUCUAUUUUUUAAAGCAUAUUAUGCGUUCAGAUAUGAAGUCCGCCUCUCGUGUUUUGGUCACACUCCGCCACUGGUCAAGAUUGUUAUGAUAAUCAUGUGGUCUAUAAUAUUCUUCAUGCGCCAUCGCGUCCUGUGGCCGCAACACUCCUCUAAAGAUAAAGGCCUUCGAUAAGGCCAGACAAUAUAUUUUUUGGAUCUGCUAAGUUAGAAUGAACGAUUAUGAUAUUUUCAUGUUAAAUAUGUUUACUUCGUGAUGUAUGUUUUGUCACUUGUCACUAUAUACAUUGUUUUCCAUUCCUUAAUUGUUAUGCAAUAUUAAAUACUAUACUUUAAAAAUAAUUAGCAUAGUUAAGAAUGUCAUAACCCGUCUUGUAAUACAUAACUUUUGAUGGAUUGUCAUAUUUAUCAUUGCCAUAUUCUUUUCAUGUUGAAAAUAUAACUCUAUUUUGUCCCAAAUGUGUUUCACUUUUAGCUUUGGUUUGGGACAUUCAAUAAAAUGUCUUGUUCAAGAUGGAUUUCACCCCAAAAAUUUGAUUUAUGUUUUUAAUCCAAUCAAAGAGAAAGUAUUGUCCUUUUCUAUGUUGUGCAUGUUUAAAACAUAGAAGUUUGUGUAAUUUGAUAAUUCAUACAAGGAGCUGAAAUAUUUGCAGAAACUAUGGAUCAAAGAGACUUGGAAAAAGAAUAGUUGUUGGGUGAGAUAAUCUUCACCGGAGGUGAUGUCUUGUCGUAUCUCAACGACACCGAUGGUCUGGAAGGAGAGGAUGACGGCUCGGGUGAACGAACAAUGAAGGAGGAAGGACAUGAUCAUGAUGGCUCCGGUGACCGAAUGUCGGCGGAAGAAGAUGACCAUAAUGACGCCUCCGGUGACCGAACGGAGGAGGAUGCUGUUGCAAAGUCCGGUGAGGUAUAUAUAUUACAUAAGCCUGUGCUGACUAGCUAAUUGACGCAUUAAUUAUUUUGGUAUGUACAUAUAUUAACUCUUCUUUCUUUCUUUAUAGGCCUCCGGAUUGAGCGAACCUUCGGUAACGAGACGAGGCUCGAAGAGAAGGUUGCGCAAGGAUGAAAGGCUCACAAUCACAUCACUCGCAAACGAUGGCCUACCGAUUCUACCCAAACGGACCAAGGACGCAUUUUCUGCUCAGUGCGGAGCUAUUGUUAGGGACAACAUCCCGAUCAGCAUCAAGUAAUAGAAUAAGCCUAAGGGCGACGACGUCCCUGAAGGUGAUUAUGUCACCGAUAGACAGAAAGAUGAUCUUUGGACCGCGCUGAAGGCAAAUUUCACCCUACCACCCGAGGAGGAUCCGAAUAAGCCAGUUAUAAAGCCACUCGUCAAGGCAUGUGGUCUUAAGAAGAUGGCAGAUCUAUUCAAGAGGUGAAAAAUUCAUAUGCAGCAGCGCGGCUGUCGGGAAGUACUUCCACUCAUGCAAGGUUAGCAGAACGAAGAAGUGGAAAACAAUUCCCCAGCUCGGCGAACAGGAGAAGCAAUCGUGCCCCCUGCUCAAGGUGUCUAGCGAAUCGUCGCUAAUCCUCCGGGGAUGGUGCCGGGUACCAAUCCUAGUGAUUACUUGGGGGAUGAUGUAAUUUUUCAAAAGGUUGAGGUAACAAAAUAACAACACAAAUACGUGCACGGGAAGCCUCUCAUCAAACCUGAUCAUCCUCCUCUAAUAACGAUGAUGCACAAAUUGCAUGAGUGGUACAUGAAAACCUGCAGCGAGUCUGGGAGAGACACUAUGUAUGUGGCAGUGAAACUAGAGCACGAAUUCAUUGGAUCUCUCGUGAUGCCUAUUGAAUUUGUGGAGUUAUUUCAGUUAUACAAUCAAAUGGGCCUCGACAAAUGACUCAUGACUUCCUACUGUUUGUAAGUAUUACUUCUAUAGUUAAUUCUCUAGCUCAGCUCGUUCAUUGCAUGUAUAUAUAAUUAUCCUUACUAUAUUAUGCAGAUUAAAGAUCGUUGAAUUCAAAAAAGUAGGAAUCUUCGACGUUGGGUUCAUUAGCCCAGAUGUCGUAAAUGAAUGGAUGGUACGACACUCAACCAAAGAGACCGAGGAGAACUUCCUAAAGUCGUUACUUGUACAUCAAAACAAAAAGGAAAUACUCCUUCCUUACAACUUCAAGUGAGUGUUGAUGUGUUCUCUGUAUACUCGGUUUCGCUUACUCGAGGUUAAUUAAUGUAAUUGAUGAGUUAUAUAUGCGUGCGCAGUUACCACUUUAUUCUGCUGUCCAUUAAGCUUGACGCGGCAUUACUAACUGUCUUAGACUCGAGACGUAAAAAUCCUAAGAUGUAUGCGGACAUGACUGCAAUGCUCAAGAAGUAAGUUUAGUCAAUACUGGGACCAUAUCGGCAUGCAAAUUUCGUUAAUUUCCUGAUAUCAAGUAAUAAUAUUUUUUUUGCCUGGCAAGGUUUGUAAGAAGUUUACCAAAAAGGCUCCUGGUCUAAACAAAGAGUUGUGAGUUACGCAUCCCAACGUAAGUAGUACUCCCUCCGUCCUAAAAUAAGUGUCUUAAGCUUAGUACAAAUUUAUACUAGAGCUAGUAUAAAGUUAAGACGGUUAUUUUGGGACAGAGGGAGUACUAGCUAGUUCCGCGCAUCUCUAAUUGAUUCAAAUUUUCAUCAAUAUAUCAUUACCAUGCUUGCUUAUCAAUUUUAUUGAAUUCUAUUCUCGUAAAGUGCAUGUAGCAAAAAGAAGGGACUGUUUUAUGUGCAUACUACGUAUGCGAGUUCAUUCGCCUCUCGAUCUGUGAGCGGGGCUUCUCCGAGAAACAAUUUAAAUUAUGUAAAUAAUAUUCACAAUUUUAUUUUAUAUAUUAGCAUAAAUUGUGUUGUUUUAUUCAUAUAUAUGCAUGUAUUAACCCCCUUCUUUAAAUUAGAUCUGACAGAUGUGGGAUGAACUCCUAUCACAUGAUCGCAUACGACCAAUUCAAGAGGAAUUGGCGAGAUUCUUUCUUGACCACGUCAUACCUAAAGACGGAGAAUACCAUGCGAAUUUGUGAUUGGAUCUUAGGUAGAUGAUGUUAGGGAUUGUAAAAGAUGUUAUAUUGUAUAUAUGUAGUAGCGUCGGAUAGAUAUACGAAAACUUGUUGUUCGACCAAACACGGAGAAAGAUGUCACUUCUCUCUAUAUGUAUAGUAGCUAGCGUCGACCAAGCAUGGAGAAAGAGAGGACACUUCUCUCUAUUAGCUAGCUAACACAAUACGAAACCCCUAAAUUAACCCUCCAACCCCACCCCCCCCCCAACCUCCCUUAAAAAAAACUCACCUCCUGCCAGAUGCUGACGCGUGGAUGCCUUUUGGUCCCGGUUGAUGUUAUCAACCGGGACUACAGGCCCUCCUGCCAGGGCUCCCCGCAGAGGCCACAUGAAGGCACAUCUGUCCCGGUUGGUAAGUGAACCGGGACUAAAGGUUUUGGGCUUUAGUCCCGACCCUUUAGUCCCGGUUCCAGAACCGGUGCUAAUGGGCCUCUGAAACCAGAAUAAAUGGGCAAAGUGUAAAUAAGAUGGGAAACUUGUAAGACAAGAUUGAACAAGCACUAGCUUGCUGUCAUAUCCCAAAAAUCUCCCUCUUCACGCAACAACUAUUUUGAGGAUUUUACCAACCACAGGCUGCAUGUCCUCUUUUCUAAGCUUGGAAUGAUGAAGAUGGAAGCCCAAAUAUUUAAUAGAAAAAUAAUCUUUUUUUCUAGAAUAUGCACGAAUAUGCAUAUCAUAUAUCUAUAGAAGAAAGGUGAAGAACAUCUCCAUCAGUUAUUUACAUCACAUCGUGAUACACCUCACGAAAACACAAACAACUCCACUUUAUCCUAACAUAGUCUACUCCUCCCCAAUGCUCCACCGUAUUAGACCUGCAAACACAUAAUCAACAUUUUCUUUAAUGAGCACGGCCAACGACCACGUUCUACCUCAGUCAAUUAGUCCCCGGAACGCCAAUUUUCGCUGGUUGGGCCCAUUUUUAAGUCUGACGAUCCCAUGACGAACCCAGCAAACUGGGGGCGCUUUGGGUCUCCGGCAGAAGAAAAAACGACGCGUGGGUUGUCCCUAUCAGGCGCAAAAGCCGUUUUCCUCCUUCAGAUCCCGGCGCCGUUCACCUCCCUACCGCCGCUACAAAGGCCAUCUCCCUUGCGACCAAGGGUGGGUUUGCCCCGGAUUCGCUCUAGCCCACAAGUUUGUUUGACCACUCCAAAAGUUAAGCACCCGAAAUAUGUGCUAGUUCGCUCAUGUAUCCCAGAAUUUUUUUGGCACCAACAUGGUUAUUCUCUACUUAAUACUUGACUGAAAUGACCCUUAACCAAAGCAACUAUGUUGUUAUAUGAAACGGAAACACAACUAGAAGAUGAUGAUCAACGAUGAUAGUAAUAUUCUAGCCACAGAUCAGCGAGAGAUACCAUCCUUCAUGAUUUUUUUAACAGGCAUUCGGCAAAUCGACAUAACAACACCCAACAAUACUCUUCAAAUUGAUACAAAAGCUGAAAAUUUCACGGUACCUAAUGUUACUCAAAACAUAAUUAAUGGUUUCAGCCUGUCUUGUAGAUUGUGGAGCUGUGCAUGCAAAUUUGGACGGUAGUGAUCCUCGAGGAUUUUAUGCACGGGGACUGAAGUGGAGUUGUUCGAUACGAUGAGUUUCAUAGUCAACGCGUGUAGAUACUCAGCUGUUUCAAGUUCAGCUGACAUAGUUAUUUCUUAUUUCCUGGACAGAUUUUCUGAUCAUGUGUAUGUCCAGGUCGCUGCGGCCAUGUCCAUGCUAUUUAUCUUCCAUUAUAUAUUUUUUACUAACUGACUGAGUGUUAUUUGAAUGGAAGAGAGCAUACCAUUGAAAAAUGCAGUUUUCAUUUUCUUGUACAGUGGUACUUAUAUUCAGUGGCGGAGCUAGCUAAUUGCCAAAGCCUGGGCACGCUGUAAACAAAGAUUUUUUCAUAUAUAUAUAUCAAACAUCACUAGUAUCAUAUAUUUGAAUAAACAGUAUGCGCAAUAUACGCACUAAUGUUUCAUAGAUGACAGAAGUAAAUAAAAACAAGACAUACAAUAGNNAAUAACUCGCUAAGCACUAGACACACAAUCUAACCUUUGUCUUGACGAUAAUAGUCCAAUCUUCAAUGUUCAUCGUUGUGCACACAAGAGAACCUACAAGAUACACCACAUUACCAAAUUAUAUAUUUUUCACUGAGAUUAAAUACAUUAGAUCUGCUCAACUCUGAAGUUUUAACAAACAUAACUGCAUAAUUAGAGCCGACACAAUCAAUGUUUAAAUGCACAAUUUCUUGAUAAAAUAGAGAGAUUAAUUCACCUAAUUGCCGCUUGCCGCUAGCCCUACUUGUUGGUGGUAGACUGCUAUUAGAUGCCACUUCACCAUGGCCUUGCACAGGUUGAGUGUUCGCUGGCGCUUCUCGUGCGGCCUUGCGAUCUUUCUGCCGACCUGUCCGAUGAUAAUCCGGCAGUUUGCCUCGCCGGCUCGCCGGCUAGGAGUAGCAGCGGCGCAGCAGUUCCUAGGUCACGGACUCACAGCGUCACGUCCAGGACUUCGUCUCGCCUAGGUACGCACACGAACAGGAAGCUGAUGGAUUCAGAUACUUCUAAUUCUCUCACAAUCUAACUAGGCCUUAGUGGCCCACGUAAUUCACGUACUCCCCAAGAGACAAGAGUAUAGCCCAAACUGCAUAAAAACGACAAGACAGGCCCAGUUCAAACACUGCACGUAUUCUCUAUUGUAUACCAGCAUUUUUAAGCUAUUUUUAUGUAUAUGAUGCCUAGAAAUGGUAGCUAUAGUUCAGGAAUUUGCCGCCGUCGAGCCCGGGCACGUGCCCAGGGUGCCCGGACGGUAAAUCCGCCCCUGCUUAUAUUAAUAUGAGCAACAUGUUCGUCUAAUUGCUUUAAAAUCUAUGCUAUUAAUUAAUUAGUGGAUAACUUUGUCCACAUACUUCUCUUGCCCUUAGAGCAACUCUAGCGCACCCCCAACAGGCUCCCAGGGCGUGUUUUUUAGUGCCGGCCAUGAAAAAAAUGCUAAGUUGCUUCGCAGAACAUCGAUUUUAGCUGGUUGAGCCCAUUUUUAGGUCUGACGAUCCCAGGACGAACCCAUCGCACUCGGGCGCUUUGGGUCCCCGACGGAAGGAAAAACGACGUGUGGGCUGUCCCUGUCAGGCGGAAAAGCCGUUUUCCUCCUCCAAAUCCCGACGCCUUUCGCCGCCGUGGCGAUCCCGGUGCCUUUCGCCACCGUGCCGAUCCCAGCGCCGUCCACCUCCCUACCGCCGCUAGAAAGGCCAUCUCCCUGGCGACGAAGGGUGGGUUCGCCGUGGCUUCGCUCCCUGCUUCUUGGUGAUUUUUUUUCCGGCGCUCCGGCCAUGCACGCGGCUGCGCGUCUGCCACGCCCGCUAGGUGUUCGGCGAUUUGCCUCGGCGAUGGACUCCGACGACGUGGAGGCAUUCGCAACGCUAAUGGAAGAGGAAGCCGAUGCCGACACCCAGGAUGAAGAGCACCUCAUGGUCCUCGCCGCUCUGGUGAGCCUGUUCGCGAGCAAUGCAAACCCGAGGCGAGGUGGCUCGGCGUCGGGUCGGCUGAAGGCAAAGCAGGGGCAUCGACUCGAAGGCUAUUGCUUGCUCUACACCGACUACUUCGCCGACGCUCCUCUGCACGGUGACAAACUCUUUCGGCGCCGUUAUCUUAUGAGCCGGAAGCUCUUCCUUAGGGAGUUCGAAAACUACUUCAAGUGCAAAAAGGAUUACACCGGCACACUUGGAUUCACCUCACUCCAGAACUGCACGACAACUACGAGGAUGCUUGCAUACGGAGCUCCCGGUGAUAUUCUGGAAGACUAUGGACGCAUGGCCGAGUCCACCACCGUUGAAUCUUUGUACAAAUUCUACAUGGCAGUUGUGGCAGUAUUUGGACUUCAAUACUUGCGAUCACCCAAUGUUGAAGACACUCCUCGGAUCCUAGCACCGAAUUCAGCAAGAGGAAUUCCUGAGAUGCUUGAAACUAUCGACUGCAUGCAUUGAAAAUGGAAAAAAUAUGCAUUUACUUGGCAGGGGGUGUACAAAGGCGUCAAAGAAGGUUGUAGUGUGGUACUUGAGGUAGUGGCCACACAUAACCUCUGGACUUGGCACUCCUUCUUUGGUAUACCAGGAACUCACAAUGACAUCAACAGACUGCAAUGCUCGAAUGCCUUUGCAAAGCUUGUUGAAGGUCAUGCUCCCCCGAUUAACUAUGAGGUCAAUGGGCACCACUACAACAAGGGAUGCUGCCUAGCAGAUGGCAUCUAUCCGAGAUGGUCCACAUUUGUGAAGACUAUCUCAAACCCUGCACCAGGAGGCAAGAACUUCUACUUUGCCAAGUGUCAAGAAGCUUGUAGGAAGGAUGUCGAGCGAGCAUUUGGUGUGCUCCAAUCUCGUUUUUCUAUUGUUCGAUACUCCGCUCAGACGUGGUCGAAAGAUCAAAUGUGAGAAGACAUGACUUGGUGUGUCAUCUUGCACAACAUGAACAUUGAGAGCGAGCGGGAAGAGCCCGUCUUUGACAUUGAACCAUAUUACAGGCAGGGUCCCCUUGCCCAAGUUGAUCACCAGCUACCGGCAACUUCGAGUGCCUUCAUCAACAUGUGUCAGGAGAUUCGAGACCCACAGGUGCAUCAACAACUAUAAACCGAUUUGGUGGAGUACCUAUGGAGGCUUAAGGGCAACGCCUAGCUCGAUGUGUGAUGAAUUAUGAGUUUUUAUUUGUUGAACUAUUUUGAUUUGUUAAACUAUUUUUGAUUUGUAUUGAUUUCUGUGAUGAACUAUGUGAUAGAAAAAUAAAUGAUUUGUUUAAUUUGUGUUAAAGCAUGCUGAAUAUGGAUCAAAAUUGGUCUCAUUUUGCGUCGAAAGUGAACCAAUUUGCGCUGAAAGUGGGCCAAUUAGCACCGAAAAUGUGCAGAAAUCAGCGGGUGGGGGCGACCUUGGGGGACGGCUGGGAACCCGAGCCUCCCACGUCGAUUUUUCCGCCGACGCGCCUCCAGGAGGCGCUAUUUUACGCCCCGGAAGAUCGAACGGCUGGAGAUGCUCUUAGGGAACCACAUCAUGAUGCAGCUGCUUAUUAAGGAUGUAGUUCUCCACAGCAAUCAUUUGAAACAACUGCUCCUUUCUGUUUGUCUUUCUAAGCUUAAAUGACGUUUAGUUUUGGGGAUCUAAUUUGGACGUUGGAACAUCAGGGCUAAAAUUACACGCUGUAUGUAUCGCAUGAUCGCAAUUGACUCUCAGUUUCCAUGCGUUUGUGCAAUAAUAAUUAAUAAGCUGAAGCUCAAAUUAAUACUUUCUUGUUCUGUUUGCAACAAAGCAGAAGGAGUCUCCACUGAAGGAAUGAAUACUGAGAGUGACAAAUGAUAAGUAGGUGUAUUGGUCUUUGCCAAAUGGGUAUACUCAAUAUAUUUAGAGAUAUAUUAACAAAACAUGCCCAGCAAUCGCUUGGAUGCGAUGCGGACUUAGGUAGGUAAAACAUCAGAUAUUAAAAGUGGCAUGCUUAAAAGGUGUAAAGGCAGCUGCCGUCGUCGCUCCUUGCCGUUGGGUCGUAGUUCUUGGCAUUUUGGUCGGUGCAACCUUCCGGCACGGGCAAAGUACCUUGCUGUGCUCCUUUACCUGCAAUUUAAUUGUUUUGGACGACGUGAUGAGAAGAUGAGCUUGAUAUGCCGGCGGAAGAGCAGGUAAGAAAAACAGGCCUCCACUCCCUUUUUUUUUCCGAAGUAAGAAAGUGAGAAAGAAGUAUGCAUGUAAAGUAGUUGCUGAAAGUAUAAGAAGAUUGUGCGUAGUUCACCUCCUCCUAUGCAGCAAGAGAUGGUGGGUGUGUAUGGAGAAUUUUCUAACCGUAGAAGGAACCAGUCUUCAUCGCAUCCUGGUUAGCAUCACCCAGAGCUGCCUGGCUCAUGUAGGUGUCAGCAAGCUGCACACGCUUGACAUUGUCCUGCUCCUGGACGAGCAUGUGCCCGUACUCUAGCAGCUUCUCGACUGUCAUCUUUGGCUGCUCGAAGGUCACGGGCCCGUCCCGCGAGUUCACCAGCCUCUUGCCAAUGUUCUCGAUUCCGGUAGAGCCGACCCACUUGCGCACCUCAUCGUCGUACACCCGAGCACGCAGAGCACCGAAAAAGUCUGUAUCGGAUCGAUGCAUGAUACUUUGUUAAUUACUGAUAUACAACUUGUCUGCCCUGAUGAAUAUAUAUAUAUAUAUUUGGAAACAAGAGAAAUAUACCAAUGGAUUGUCCUGGGAAGGUGUCGACGAUCUUGACGACAGACUCGUCACUGACAUUGUCGGUCUGGAAGAUACCCUUGCAGACACCGAUACGGUCGUCACGGGUGGGAGCCCAGUAGAACUUCUCCAUACGACCAUCACGGAUCAGAGGAGCGUAGAGCGUCGAGAAAUCGUUACCGGUGACGACGAUGGGCACACGGGGGUUCUCCUCCUUGUUGUACAUGCCAGGGAGCUGCACGUUGGUGGGGGCAUCGGCGAUGUUCAUCAGGGUGGCGUUCACCAUCUGGUUGUUGACGGUGUACUGCGUGGUUCCGCCCAUCCUACCCGCACCAGCGUCAAGAUCGUUGAUGAAGAGGCAGCACAUCUUACCCUUCUUGAUCAUGUCUGCAGCCUCACGGUACCGCUGCCUGAUGAGCUUGGCUGGCUCUCCAGCGUUCCCACUCUCCAGCUCUCCGGCACUCAUCAUGAUGGGGCUGUGGCAAAAAGCACAGGUCAUUAUCUAUUAUUACUAUUAUCUUAUACUCCCUCUGUUCUUAAAUAUAAGUCUUUUAAGCGAUUUCAUCAAGAAACUACAUACAAAACAAAAAGAAUGAAUCUACACUCUAAAGUAUGUCUAUAUACAUCCGUAUGUAGUCCUUUAGUGAAAUCUCUAAAAUGACUUAUAUUAUGGAACGGAGGGAGUAGUAUUUCUUUAGGGAGGAAGUAGAUGAAUGUAAAUUCUUACUUGAUGCCCAUCUUGGCGAACACAAGCUCACACUGGAAUGAUUUUCCUUGACCCUUGCCUCCCCAGAUACCCAAGAUGAGUGGGAUCUGAAUUUCGAUUCAAGGUCAGUUUCAGAAUCAGAAUGAUUCAUUUUAUUGCUGCUUCUGCUAAUAAUCAAUUAAAUUAAAUAACGAUGUCUGCAUGCAUCGAUUAAUUCAACCUCCUUUUUUCAAAAAAAGAAAAGAANNNNNNNNNNNNNNNNNNNNNNNNNNNNNNNNNNNNNNNNNNNNNNNNNNNNNNNNNNNNNNNNNNNNNNNNNNNNNNNNNNNNNNNNNNNNNNNNNNNNNNNNNNNNNNNNNNNNNNNNNNNNNNNNNNNNNNNNNNNNNNNNNNNNNNNNNNNNNNNNNNNNNNNNNNNNNNNNNNNNNNNNNNNNNNNNNNNNNNNNNNNNNNNNNNNNNNNNNNNNNNNNNNNNNNNNNNNNNNNNNNNNNNNNNNNNNNNNNNNNNNNNNNNNNNNNNNNNNNNNNNNNNNNNNNNNNNNNNNNNNNNNNNNNNNNNNNNNNNNNNNNNNNNNNNNNNNNNNNNNNNNNAGGUACCUUGAUGUUGGGCAGGGUCAUGAAGUUUUUGGAGAGAUGGACAACAAGCUUGUCCAUGAAAGCAGGAGCGAUGUAGAAGCCUCCCAUGGUGUUGUCGAAGUCGUACUUCCGCAGGCCCUGGCUGACGUACUCGUAGGAGCUGAGGACGGCCUCGUGGGUGCCGUCGCCCGUGGGCGCCUGGAAGAGCGAGUCCACGAUGCCCUUCCCUCUGGUGAUGUCCUGCUGGUCGUCGGAGAUAUCGUACGCAAGACCCUUCCACUUGUCGGUGUUCCUCUUCUCGUCGAUGUUCUCCGCUGCCAUGACUGUGAACCUGUUGGCCUUGGAGCUCUUGCCAUGGUAGUUCACGGCCGAGGUCACCUGCUUCUUGAGCUUCUUCCCGAGGAAGUUGGUCGGCGUAGAAGCCUGUAUACAUUACAUUACAUUACAUAUACACACAUGAGAUGCCGCUGAAGACACUGAUAGGAUAUCAUCACUAAGCAAGAGAUGCAAUCAAUCAAUCGAUCGAUCAGUGUGUGGUACGCACCGGAGCCCCGACGGUGGAGGAGAAGGCAGCAGCCAUCUCUGUGCUGCUUGGUCGACCUUGCUAGCAACGGUGGAUGCGCGCGGCUGUGCUGGUGAUCAGUGAUGAAUGACUGCUGCUGCUCAAAGUAUAGAGGCCGAGCUAUGUGACGCCUUAAAUACACGUGGAUUGGCAUAUUGCUGCUCUGCUGUGGGGAGCUUGGAGGAGGAGGCGGCAUACACACACCCCUGCUUGUGGAUCAGCCUCCCGAUCCCCCAGAGGCCACACGCUGGAGAUUGGGUUCUGAGCGUCUUGGCCGGCCGGUUGGAUGACUUGGACCGUCAAGACCAAACGCUGCAGCUGCAGCUGCAGAUACGUCUGCUGGCCAUCAAUUCCAUGGCCUUCCACGGCCACAGAAUCUAACCAUUCAUGCUCAAAUCAUCUCCCAUUUCUUCCGUGCCUUUCAUUUUUUCCUUUCACUCGGUCGCCCGUAUAUACUAUCUUGUUUAUUAGCCAAGCCAUGUCAUUGCAUAACCACAAAAAAAGGGUCUCUCGUUGCUUGUUGGAUGAGGCACCCAAGAUUGUAUUCUAGUUCCAAGUACCACAAAUUUGUUGCUGCCAUACAUAUACUGGUUUGUUGAUAACCAUCAAGCUAGGGAUGUCAUUUGGCACCACACAAAUCAAGUCCUGGUUGACAUCAAGCACAUGGGUUUGUACUUUUGUCUACUCCAAUAAAUAUUGCCACUUCGGUAAAAAAAAAUGAAGCGUAUUAAGAGAAAAGGUAGCCAUGCAGUUUUGCUUUGAUGAAAAGAUUAUAGAACGUGUCUAAUGUUUUCAUGUAAAUGUAAUUCGUGUUGCCUAGCUCAAGUUCCCUGCUGGUAUUCUCAUUGUUUGGGUCUAGUACAGACCAUUAAUUGAUCAUUACGAUGAAUGCGAGCCGUUUGGCUCGCACAAUCUUUGUCCAAUACACCUUCUAGUGAUGUUGUCCUUGUUAAUCAACUUUGUGGUGCAAAUUGGGGUUUCCGUAAUCCGUCAAAGGGAAAAUAUGUAUGUAUGUGAUGAGUCAUGACCCCCCACAUCCACAGUACUCGUACCUAAUCAACAAGCUUCAGAUGAUUUCCACAUAUGUGCUAAUCUUCCGACAAGUGCUAAUAUCAAGAGAUAUAUAGGUUGUUGGGACUUGGGACCCUAGCUUGCAUCCAUUGGAGAAAUGAUUAAGCGGAAAAUGACGAUUUAAGAACAUAUACAAUUCCUUUCUCUUUCAAGAAGAGACUUACAAUUGGGUUACCUGUGCGGCGAUGAAUCAAAAAGUUUGAGUGGAUUUCGGGUCCAAAAUAGUCCAACAUAUAUAUAGUGCAUGCAUGCAUCUUAAGUAGAGUAGGACCUUCUACUUGCCGUAGAAGGCACCGGUCUUCAUGGCGUCGUCGUUGGCUUGGCCGAGCGCCGCCUCGCUGAGGUACUUGUCGGCGAGCUGCACACGCUUGAC